This 313-nucleotide long non-coding RNA is filed under the name Marmota monax (woodchuck). The record is from RNAcentral. Lineage: Eukaryota; Metazoa; Chordata; Mammalia; Rodentia; Sciuridae.
AGCAUAGGUCUUGUUCAGGCUUUGCUCACACAGUGCUUUGGUUUAGAAAGCAAUAGCAGUCUAUGUCCUCUUGUUCCUUGGCUUGUUACUUUCUGGGAGGGACAUUUCAGCGAUCUAAUGCUCCCCAGGCAGGAGCAAGAAGGCAGGAGAGUGACUGCUGGCCUUCCCCAGAGGACAGUCUUAUGGCAUUGGUUAUUGAGAGGGGAGUCAGUACCCAGACAGUCCAGGGUUCUCUGUGGAGCAAGGAGGGAUAGGAAGGGGAAAAAACAAAAAGAAAAAAACUAAGCAAGUACAGAGAGCUGCAGGGGGAGAA